This 72-nucleotide transfer RNA is filed under the name Capra hircus (goat). It matches the Rfam family "tRNA". Rfam says of the family: Transfer RNA (tRNA) molecules are approximately 80 nucleotides in length. Lineage: Eukaryota; Metazoa; Chordata; Mammalia; Artiodactyla; Bovidae. RNAcentral also lists the same sequence under 1 other name. The record is from Rfam by way of RNAcentral.
UCCCUGGUGGCUCAGAUGGUAAAGAAUCUGCUUGCAAUGCAGGAGACUCAGGUUCAGUUCCUGGGUUGGGAA